AUGCUCGCUUUGGCAGCACAUAUACCAAAAUUGGGAUGAUACACAGAAGAUUAGCCUGGCCCCUGCACAAGGAUGAUAUGCAAAUCGGUGAAGCAUUCUAUAUUUUA
Arvicanthis niloticus (Nile rat) is the source of this 107-nucleotide small nuclear RNA. NCBI's taxonomy places the organism in Eukaryota, Metazoa, Chordata, Mammalia, Rodentia, Muridae. The record is from RefSeq and is a predicted model, not a curated record.